Molecule: unclassified non-coding RNA, 493 nt
Filed under: Hevea brasiliensis (rubber tree)
Lineage: Eukaryota; Viridiplantae; Streptophyta; Magnoliopsida; Malpighiales; Euphorbiaceae
Source: RNAcentral
GUGAGUUUGUGAUCUAACUGGAGGCAUCAAGAUGAUGGGACCUAAUCCUGGCCCAGCCAGGUCGGACUCUAUACUACGACAGUUUCUCGGUCCGCCCGUUCCAAGGUAAGAGUGAACCAAGUUAUCUUUACGAAGGCUCGGAUGGCUUGGUUCCUAAACCAGAGGACACCGCGUGAGGCGGAUCAGGUGUCGUUGGAGUCCAUAUGGCUGAAUGGGCUUGAACGGUGAUCGUGAAACGAAGGUUUGGUGGUCUAAGAGUGGUGCUCUCUCUCUCUCUCUCCAUCGAGCAAAAGAUGUAGCCAAAUCUAAUGGUAUCCAUCCAUAUUUUCAGAGAUUACACAACAAAAAGAGAUACAAAAAGCAGAUCGCUGUCAAUAGGAAGAAAUGUACAAAAGAUGGUAUAGAAUGGGAUAUAUCCCACAUUCAACUUGCAUUAAAAAAUUAUUUCUUAUUUGCUAGAUACUGAUUGUAAGAAUCAAAUUCAGAAUGAUCA